Molecule: small nuclear RNA, 103 nt
Filed under: Rhinopithecus roxellana (golden snub-nosed monkey)
Lineage: Eukaryota; Metazoa; Chordata; Mammalia; Primates; Cercopithecidae
Source: RNAcentral
GUGCUUGCUUUGUCAGCAUAUAAACUACAAUUGGAACCAGAGAAGAUUAACAUGGCUCUUGAGCAAGGAUGACAUGCAAAUUCAUGAAAUAUUUUAUAUUUUU